AUGUCGUUGGUUCCCUCGAAAAUGCGGAAAAUCCUCAAAUCCCGCAGCACCCGCUCCACGCCCUGCUCCUGCAACCCAAAAUUCCCAAAAAUUCCCAAAAAUUCCCAAAAUUCCCACCGAAAAUCCAACAAAUCCCACAAACAGCAUCAAAAAUCCCAAAAAUUCCCAAAAAUUCCCACCGAAAAUCCCCCAAAUCCCACAAAAAGCAUCAAAAUUCUCAAAAAUUUCCACCAAAAAUCCAACAAAUCCCACAAAAAGCAUCAAAAAUCCCAAAAAUUCCCACCGAAAAUCCACCAAAUCCCACAAAAAGCAUCAAAAAUCCCAAAAAUUCCCACUGAAAAUCCACCCAAUCCCACAAAAACAUCAAAAAUCCCAAAACAUCCCCAAAAUUCCCCAAAAUUCCCACCGAAAAUCCAACAAAUCCCACAGAAAGCAUCAGAAAUCCCAAAAAUUCCCAAAAAUUCCCACCAAAAAUCCCCCCAAAUCCCACAGAAAACAUCAAAAAUCCCAAAAAUUCCACCAAAAAUCCCCCAUAUCCCACAAAAAGCAUCAAAAAUCCCAAAAAUUCCCCAAAAUUCCCACCAAAAAUCCCCCAAAUCCCACAAAAAGCAUCAAAAAUCCCAAAAAUUCCCAAAAAUUCCCACCAAAAAUCCCCCAAAUCCCACAAAAAGCAUCAAAAAUCCCAAAACAUCUCCAAAAUUCCCAAAAAUUCCCACCAAAAAUCCCACAAAUCCCACAAAAAGCAUCAAAAAUCCCAAAAAUUCCCAAAAAUUCUCACCAAAAAUACCCCAAAUCCCACAAAAAGCAUCAAAAAUCCCAAAAUUCCCAAAAAAUCCCAAAAUUCCCACCAAAAAUCCACCAAAUCCCACAAAAACAUCAAAAAUCCCAAAAAUUCCCAAAAAUUCCCACCAAAAAUCCCCCAAAUCCCACAAAAAGCAUCAAAAAUCCCAAAAAUUCCCACCAAAAAUCCCACAAAAAGCAUCAAAAAUCCCAAAAAUUCCCACCGAAAAUCCACCAAAUCCCACAAAAAGCAUCAAAGAUCCCAAAACAUCCCCAAAAUUCGCCAAAAUUCCCACCAAAAAUCCCAAAAAUUCCCAAAAAUUCCCCCCAAAAAACCCCAAAUCCCACAGAAAGCAUCAAAAAUCCCAAAAAUUCCAAAAAAUUCCCAAAAAUUCCCACCGAAAAUUCACCAAAUCCCACAAAAAGCAUCAGAAAUCCCAAAAUUCCCAAAAAUUCCCACCAAAAAUCCCACAAAUCCCACAAAAAGCAUCAGAAAUCCCAAAACAUUCCCAAAAUUCCCCAAAAUUCCCAUCAAAAAUCCACCAAAUCCCACAAACAGCAUCAAAAAUCCCAAAAAUUCCAAAAAAUUCCCACCAAAAAUCCACCAAAUCCCACAGAAAGCAUCAAAAAUUCCCAAAAUUCCCAAAAAUUCCCACCAAAAAUCCAACAAAUCCCACAAAAACAUCAAAAAUUCCCCAAAAUUCCCAGAAAUUCCCACCAAAAAUCCCACAAAUCCCACAAAAAGCAUCAAAAAUACCAAAACAUCCCCAAAAUUCCCCAAAAUUCCCACCAAAAAUCCACCCAAAUCCCACAAAAACAUCAAAAAUCCCAAAAAUUCCCCAAAAUUCCCACCGAAAAUUCACCAAAUCCCACAAAAAACAUCAAAAAUCCCAAAAAUUCCCAAAAAUUCCCACCGAAAAUCCCACAAAUCCCACAAAAAGCAUCAAAAAUCCAAAAAAUUCCCAAAAAUUCCCACCAAAAAUCCCCCAUAUCCCACAAAAAGCAUCAAAAAUCCCAAAACAUCCCCAAAAUUCCCACCAAAAAUCCCACAAAUCUCACAAAAACAUCAAAAAUCCCAACAAUUCUCAAAAAUUCCCACCGAAAAUCCACCAGAUCCCACAAACAGCAUCAAAAAUCCCAAAACAUAACCAAAAUUCCCAAAAAUUCCCACCGAAAAUCCCACAAAUCCCACAAAAAGCAUCAAAAAUCCCAAAACAUCCCCAAAAUUCCCACUGA
This 2016-nucleotide long non-coding RNA is filed under the name Taeniopygia guttata (zebra finch). RNAcentral describes it as "lncRNA (ENSTGUG00000023709.1)". The record is from RNAcentral. Lineage: Eukaryota; Metazoa; Chordata; Aves; Passeriformes; Estrildidae.